Molecule: non-coding RNA, 1017 nt
Organism: Prunus avium (sweet cherry)
Lineage: Eukaryota; Viridiplantae; Streptophyta; Magnoliopsida; Rosales; Rosaceae
Source: RefSeq, a predicted model, not a curated record
AAAUCCACCAAGCGCCGCCUCGCCACUUAAGGCAAGUCCUCGCAAGCGCUCACUUUCGCCGACCUUUAUACAAAAUUCGCAUAAAAAACCGGACCAGGAAGUGUAAAUAACAAAUGGGCAGUCCUUUAUUUGCUCAAAAUUAUAUCUGAGGAUCGAAAAAAUGUGAAAACCCAGUUAGAUUCUUCGAUUUUGUUGCCCAAUUUGGCGUUAAACGACGGUGAAUUGGGCAACGAGUCGAGGGUUUUGUUGGGUAAGGGAAAUAAGGAAAAGGGUUGGAACAAUGGGGUUUUGUUAGUUUCGAAAGACCCAGAAAAUCUUCGGGAAAUUGCAUUUAGGGAGUUUGUGAACUUGAUUAAGGAAGAAAAUGAAGUUUCUGAAGAGGUUUUGGUGAGAGAUGUGUUGUAUGCUUGUCAAGGCAUUGAUGGCAAGUAUGUGAAAUUUGAUUCUGGUGCUGAUGGCUAUGUUUUAUCGGAUUUGAUUAAGGUUCCGAGAGCAAUCCGCCUGAUGGUUCGAAAGCUUUGUGAAUUGGGGUGGUUGUUUAGGAAGGUUAAAGGGUAUAUUUCAGAGAGUAUGGAUGGGUUUCCAUCUGAAGAUGUUGGAACUGUUGGUCAGGCCUUUUGUGCUGCAUUACAAGAUGAGCUCUCUGAUUACUAUAAGUUGUUGGCAGUGCUUGAAGCACAGUCGAUGAAUCCAAUUCCUUUGGUUUCAGAGACAGCAAGCUCAGGGAAUUAUCUUUCGCUGAGGAGGUUGUCUGUAUGGUUUGCAGAGCCAAUGGUGAAAAUGAGGUUGAUGGCCGUUUUGGUUGAUAAAUGUAGGGUUUUAAGGGGUGGGGCAAUGGCUGGAGCUAUUCAUUUGCAUGCCCAGCAUGGUGAUCCAUUGGUGCACGAGUUUAUGGGGCGCUUACUCCGGCGGGUGUGUUCUCCACUAUUUGAGAUGGUGAGGAGUUGGGUUUUGGAGGGAGAGUUGGAAGAUGUUUUUGCCGAAUUCUUUGUCGUUGGUCAGCCAGUGAAAGCUGAG